UAGCGAUCAAUUUAUAUGAUCACUAUUUUUGUAAAUAAAACGCAGGAGCUAGGGUCGUUUUAUUUAUUUUGGAGACCACUUUAGCGACCACUACAUGUGGUUGCUAUAGCCUAAGUGAAAUCGAAAUAAGACCUUCUUCCCCAAUUUUCUAUGGCAGCUGCACCACCGUAAAUCCCCAAGUCCCAAAUUUCAAAUCGAAGUAUGACAUUUUAGCCAGUUUCAUAGAAGCUCUGCCACCCUCCACCGCUAUCCUCCGAUCAACGUCUCCACUUUCCUUUUUCGAUUGAAAGUUGAUUCCGCCGUUCUCCGUCCCUCUUUCCCUCCUCUUUGUUGGUACCCAUUUCUUAGAGACAAAACUCAGUUUCACUAAGACGACACCGUGCACAUGGCACUCAAAGCGGCGGGCAAGGUCGAGGCUCAAGCGGGAGACCUCCAUCUGCUGGUAGUUGGUCUCCCGGUGUCGAACAUCUUGAGCUCUACCCACAUUGACAGCUCCACCCACGUCGCCAGCUCCACCCCCCAUCUUCAGCUUUACCCACAUCGACAGUUCCACCCACGUCUACAGCUCCAUCCUCUAGUGCACCUCCAUCCACUCGAGCACCAUUAUCAUGUACAUUGGCAGCUACUUGUACUACUUCACACCCAUCUCCAUCCACUUGAGCGCCAUCCCCAGCAUCGCACCCAUCUCCAUCACAUUUGACUACACCUGUGACUCCUAGUGUUGUGUCAGGCUCGGGUAGCUGUGGUAGUGGUCGUAAAAGGAUAUGUUUAGAGAAUAGAAAGUAAGUAAUGUUUUAUGCUUUAGUUUAUGUUCAUUACAUCUUUUUUUCAGUUUAGCUAAUGUUAUGCGUGUUUAAUGUAUAUUCAUUGAGUCGCACCACAUGUCUACCCAUAUAUCCAAUAUAUUUAAGGAGGCUAUCUGUUAUAAGGGAUAUAUAUGGAAGAUAGUGACACCAAAAGCUCGAGAGAAAUAUUGGACCGAGUUUCAUGUAAAACAAAAAUGAGUAUUACAGUACAAUUAUUAAUUAAGAUUUAUGUAUUAUUGUGAUGUGUUUUGUUGAGUACUAUUCUUAAGGUCAGUUGUAUGAUUGAUAGUUUUUAUAUUUAUUAAAUUUUUCAAGGUUAAUGCCUGUUUUGGGAAUUAUUUUGUUGACUUGCAAUAUGUUUGUGAAAUGCUUUAUGUAUUACAGGUAAUUUGCCUCAAUUAUUUGAGAUUUGGAUAAUGUAUAUAAUAGGAGAGACUCUGUCGAAUUUUUAAGAAAAUUGUUAUGGUCAAUUAUAUAUAUUGCAAAAAAAAAUUAAGUGGGAAGAUUCUAUUCAUGAGAUGGUGAAACUAGCAUAGGAGUAGCUGGCUGCCAGGAGAUACACCAAUAUGUUGCAUAAGUGGACGGGUAAGGGACCACCUAUGUUCCAAAGGACGUCUAACAUAGGUGUCAGGAAAAGUGAUCAGAGAGUUCCUUCCGAGCACUUGCAGCAUGUCAAUCUAGGAACCAUCAGAGUGAGACAGGAGGCCCUAGAUCGGAGCUGACACGGCACACUUCUGGCUCUAUCUCUAUUCAGGAGCACGCUAGAAAAAUUAUAAGGCUAUUGUGAGUUAUAACUUAAAUUUAAUUUAACAAGUUACAAAAAAAUAUUAAUUUAUUUUUUAUUUUCAGGAGAGGGCUGAACAUGCACCCACCGGCAUGUCCAAUUAUUUAAUGAGACCCACAUGACUAGAGUCGAUGAUGGAUCGAGGAGCUAUGUGGAUGACUGCGUUAGGCAAGUUGGGGAAAGCCUUGAGGCGUGCCUAGCAGAGGCGUCUCACGAUGAAUACGGUAAUCCAGUGCCACUAUCCCAAGAGGAGGAGGAGAGAAUUUUCUUAGAGACAGUUCAGGCUUCCUCACAUAGUAGAGACGUAUAUGGGACAAGGAAGAAUAAGAUGUCUUCAUAUCAGUCCGAUUCUUGAACCUCCACAGCUUCCACUAGUGGGAUUGACGAGCAGCACUUUCGACAGCUUGAAGACACUACCAUUCAGUUGGCGAGUCAGUUGCAGGACAAAGACGAGCGGAUUCAGAUGCUGGGGUAUAUCGUGUGCCAGUUGCUUCAGGGGAUGACCCAGAGCAUUCAGCAGCAUGUUCCUGGCCCGUCUACCCAAACCCACGGUGAUGACUCGCAGCAAAAUCCAUCUUUUAGUGAGUCGUGAGUUUGUUAGUACUUAUCCUUUCUAUUUUUAUAACUCUCUGACUAUACAUCAGCUUAAUCACUUGAAAUUUGUUUAUCUUUUUAUUAUUGGGUGAUUUCAUUGAUUAAUAUUUUAUAUUUUAUAAAAAUAUAAAUUUCAAUUA
Ricinus communis (castor bean) is the source of this 2324-nucleotide long non-coding RNA. RefSeq lists it as uncharacterized. NCBI's taxonomy places the organism in Eukaryota, Viridiplantae, Streptophyta, Magnoliopsida, Malpighiales, Euphorbiaceae. The transcript has 4 exons. The record is from RefSeq and is a predicted model, not a curated record.